CUUGGCCGAAGUGGUGGGCUGCUGCCCUCACAAGCAUUGUGAGGGCAGCGGUUCUAGCCCUCACAAAAGCAUUGUGGGGGCUAAAUGUUCUUUAUACUUCCAAAAAAAUCAUUCUCUCUUGCGAAAUGCGAGUGGAGUAUGGACAUCCCUCUCCUGUGAGGGGUUAUUUGUUUGGGCAUCUAUUUCAUAGAAUUCAAUGUCAUAAUAUAAGUCCCAAUUAUGUAUAUCUGAUUGUAAAUAUCAGUAUAAUAUCUCUGCUACAAUAGCAGUUGUUGUAAAAUAUCUGUAUGCGAGUGGAGUAUGGACAUCCCUCUCCUGUGAGGGGUUAUUUGUUUGGGCAUGUAUUUCAUAGAAUUCAAUGUCAUAAUAUAAGUCCCAAUUAUGUAUAUCUGAUUGUAAAUAUCAGUAUAAUAUCUCUGCUACAAUAGCAGUUGUUGUAAAAUAUCUGUGUAAUGCAGUAAUCUGAUGAUUAAUCAGUAUUAAAAAAAAAAAGUACACGCAACACGUGCAACGCUCGCAUAUGAGUG
This 527-nucleotide long non-coding RNA is filed under the name Citrus maxima (pomelo). RNAcentral's name for it is "long non-coding RNA (CMAX_LNC001572)". Lineage: Eukaryota; Viridiplantae; Streptophyta; Magnoliopsida; Sapindales; Rutaceae. The record is from RNAcentral.